GACGAACGCUGGCGGCGUGCCUAAUACAUGCAAGUAGAACGCUGAAGGAGGAGCUUGCUUCUCUGGAUGAGUUGCGAACGGGUGAGUAACGCGUAGGUAACCUGCCUGGUAGCGGGGGAUAACUAUUGGAAACGAUAGCUAAUACCGCAUAAUAGCAGUUGUUGCAUGACAACUGUUUGAAAGGUGCAAUUGCACCACUACCAGAUGGACCUGCGUUGUAUUAGCUAGUUGGUGGGGUAACGGCUCACCAAGGCGACGAUACAUAGCCGACCUGAGAAGGUGAUCGGCCACACUGGGACUGAGACACGGCCCAGACUCCUACGGGAGGCAGCAGUAGGGGAACUUCGGCAAUGGACGGAAGUCUGACCGAGCAACGCCGCGUGAGUGAAGAAGGUUUUCGGAUCGUAAAGCUCUGUUGUGAGAGAAGAACGAGUGUGAGAGUGGAAAGUUCACACUGUGACGGUAGCUUAACAGAAAGGGACGGCUAACUACGUG
This 495-nucleotide ribosomal RNA is filed under the name uncultured bacterium. Its description in RNAcentral is "partial 16S ribosomal RNA". It matches the Rfam family "Bacterial small subunit ribosomal RNA", at positions 28 to 507 of the family's 1533-position model. The record is from RNAcentral.